AUGCUGUGGUGGGGGCAUGCUGCAAUGUAUUCCUAGAAUCUCUCCCAAGCUUCUGAGAUGGAUUCAUCCGGAUGUCGUGAAAUCCAGAGAUUUUGCUCCGAACGAC
Molecule: small nucleolar RNA, 106 nt
Organism: Panicum virgatum (switchgrass)
Lineage: Eukaryota; Viridiplantae; Streptophyta; Magnoliopsida; Poales; Poaceae
Source: RefSeq, a predicted model, not a curated record